GCUUGGUGAGGAAAGCAGACACAGACUCCAGCCGGCCACUGUGAUGGGCAUUGCCCAGGAGUAACAAGGCAGUGGCAUAAAGAAGGGGAGCCAGUGCUAGGGGCAUUCAGGUGUGGUGGACCUCUUGCCAGUGCCAGCCUUGGCACACACUGACCAUGUCUGCGUUUGUCUGGCAGUCCUCCAUGAAUGCCAUGGGCUCCCUUUCCAUCCUGUCGCCGGACCGGGUCCUCCCACAGCUCAUCAGCACCAUCACUGCCUCCGUGCAGAACCCUGCACUGCGCCUGGUGACGCGGGAGGAGUUUGCCAUUAUGCAGACCCCUGCUGGGGAGCUGUAUGACAAAUCCAUCAUUCAGAGUGCCCAGCAGGACAGCAUAAAAAAGGCCAACAUGAAGCGAGAGAACAAAGCUUAUUCCUUCAAAGAGCAGAUCAUCGAGCUGGAGCUGAAGGAGGAGAUAAAGAAGAAGAAAGGCAUCAAAGAGGAGGUGCAGCUGACCAGCAAGCAGAAGGAGAUGCUGCAGGCCCAGCUAGACAGGGAGGCGCAGGUCCGGAGGCGGCUGCAGGAGCUGGAUGGGGAGCUGGAGGCGGCGCUUGGACUGCUGGACAUCAUCCUGGCCAAGAACCCGUCCGGCCUGACCCAGUACAUCCCCGUUUUGGUCGACUCUUUUCUGCCCUUGCUGAAGUCUCCCCUGGCUGCUCCCAGGAUCAAGAACCCCUUCUUGUCCUUGGCUGCCUGUGUCAUGCCCUCUAGGCUCAAGGCUUUGGGCACUUUGGUGAGCCACGUGACCCUGCGCCUGCUGAAGCCAGAGUGUGCCCUGGAUAAGUCCUGGUGCCAGGAAGAGCUGUCGGUGGCUGUGAAGAGGGCGGUGACGCUGCUGCACACCCACACCAUCACCAGCAGGGUGGGCAAGGGGGAGCCAG
This 918-nucleotide small RNA is filed under the name Pan troglodytes (chimpanzee). Its description in RNAcentral is "retained intron". The record is from RNAcentral. Lineage: Eukaryota; Metazoa; Chordata; Mammalia; Primates; Hominidae.